Molecule: ribosomal RNA, 252 nt
Filed under: uncultured bacterium
Lineage: Bacteria
Description: partial 16S ribosomal RNA
Rfam family: Bacterial small subunit ribosomal RNA
Source: RNAcentral
UACGGAGGAUGCGAGCGUUAUCCGGAUUUAUUGGGUUUAAAGGGUGCGUAGGCGGGAUGCCAAGUCAGCGGUAAAAAUGCGGUGCUCAACGCCGUCGAGCCGUUGAAACUGGCGUUCUUGAGUGGGCGGGAAGUAUGCGGAAUGCGUGGUGUAGCGGUGAAAUGCAUAGAUAUCACGCAGAGCUCCGAUUGCGAAGGCAGCAUACCGGCGCCCUACUGACGCUGAGGCACGAAAGCGUGGGUAUCGAACAGG